UUUAAUUCUUCCAGUUUAAAAAUCCUCCUCAGCCAUCCAAUUUAUUUAGUCAAUCUUGUGCAAUAAGGAAUUCAUUUUAUCCUUUCCACCGCCUCACUUUUUUAUAAAAUUAGCUUCUCUCAUUUUCUGGAAAUAUUUCGAAAAUACAGCUAGCCAAUUUUGAUUUCCACAGCAGCAAAUUUAGCAGCAAAUUUUGAAGCAGCCAACUUUGAAGCAACAAAGUUUGAUUGAUCUCUUUUCACACUUUCACACGUUCUAUGUCAAAUAUUUCAAUCUAUUUAAACAUCAAUGUAUCAUUCUCAAAUUCAGAAAUCAACAAAAAAAUUCACUCAAAUAUUUCCAAUUCGCAGCAACUGAUUUACUUCACUCAUUCAAGCUGGUAAUUUUAAUAACUUUUGUAAAGUUAUUUCAUUUCAAGCAUAUCAAUAGUUUUCUUCAUUUUCGCCAAAACCAAGGCUAAACACAAAAACUUUGUUUUCAAAAAAUCCAAUCAUGCAUACAUCUAUUUUUCUCUAAUUUAUAUAUUGCUAAAUACAUGAAAAAGAAAAUAGAAAUAGAAGAAGAAAAAGGGGAAAUAGUGGGUGAGUGGCUGCUGCCGAUCCGGGAAAACGGAAGGGAACCGACUGAAAAGCUGCGCCGCGCGCUGUUGCUGGCGGAGGGCGGCGACCGGCGGACGGAAUCAGGGGCGGUGGCGGAAGGAGACAGGAGCAGGGCGACGGUGCUAUGGUCUCGACCGUGCGUCUCUGAUCGGGAAGAGGGAGAAGGCGGCCUGACCGGCUUGUGCUGUCGGCCAGGAGGAGGCGCUGGCAGGCGGCGAGGGUCGCCGGAGAAGAGGUAGGCGCGGUGUGGAGAGCAGACCGAGGGAGAGGGGGAGAAGGGAAAAAGGAGGGCUGCUGGAGAAGGGUGCGUGAGUGUGCUGGUGAUUUUGUGUGUGGAGUUUUAAAUUAGGUUGAAGAGUAGUGGGCUUAGGGUCUCUUGAUAAAUGGAUGUAGGAAUGGGCUUUUAAAAGUGGGUUAAUAAUGUUUUGGGCUUGAUUUACUUUUUAUUGUGGGUUUGAAAUGUUUAGCCAAUAAAUUAUGGUAGUAAUAAUUCUUAAUAUGAUUUCAAAUUAUGUAUUAAGUUAAAUUUAUUUUACAAGAAAAUAUUUUAUUAUUUAAACUAUUAAACCAAUGAUUUCUACAUUAUCUUAUAGAAUAAAUUCAUAAAGUUUAAAUUAUUUUAUAGAUUCAAAUAGGCCCUUAUAUUUUGAAUUUAUCUGACUAGGUGCGGCGCGACUAGGACGUGAACUUUAAAUUAUUGCAGUUAAUUUUCAAAGCUCAAAAGUUCAAGUUUCAG
Molecule: long non-coding RNA, 1335 nt
Filed under: Salvia miltiorrhiza (redroot sage)
Lineage: Eukaryota; Viridiplantae; Streptophyta; Magnoliopsida; Lamiales; Lamiaceae
Description: long non-coding RNA (SMIL_LNC005249)
Source: RNAcentral